RNAcentral lists this long non-coding RNA (1162 nucleotides) under Monodelphis domestica (gray short-tailed opossum). Its description in RNAcentral is "lncRNA (ENSMODG00000046624.1)". The record is from RNAcentral. Lineage: Eukaryota; Metazoa; Chordata; Mammalia; Didelphimorphia; Didelphidae.
UAAUUCUAGUAAGCCGAGGAGUUGUGGCAGACCUGGAGAUGGGAAUGGAGGGGAAACAAGGUAGCCAAGUCAGGUUUUUAUGAGGAGGGAAACUAGGAACUGGAGGCUUCAAUAAUAUUAAGAAUUAGGAGUGUACUUUUAUCUCUUCUGCCAAACUAGACAGAACUGCUCCAGUUUCAGCACCAUGGACAGAAGGUGACACUUGAAAGUUAUGUUGGGGCCUUGACCUGAGUCAUCCAUGCCUCCAGCAAAAAACAACAGUGCUAAGUUGGGUCCUACUGAUCUGCCCCCAUUAUAGACAUAUGGGGAAAAUGGUUUGGAGGAAGCUUAAGGAGGAAGAAGAGCAGAGUCUCCUGCCAAUAAUUAAGAGAAUGAUAACUGUUAUAGAGCACCAGGAUGGUAGAGAAUGACUCAAACCCAAGUGGGUGUCUAGGGUUUGGGAAGGAAAUGGUGACACUAUUUGGGGUCCCCAGGAGCCUUCCCUCAUGGGAACAUUUUUGGUUUGCUUCUUCUAAUAAAUCAGCCAUUGAGUAGAUAGCCAUGGGUGCCCAAUCUAAUUGCAAUGAACUCUCCGAAUUCUUUGCAUUAGAAUCCUGCUGUUUUGGUUGUCAGUCAGAAGCGGAACAUCAUUCGAAGUUUAAAAUCUUUGUGGUUGCAGAGAGAUUGUUGUUGUAAUGGCCUUCGUCUGAGCUGUAAGUCAGGUAAAGAUAAGGAUAUCACGUUUAAUUAUAACUGAAAUUUUGUUAACUGUUAAUCAAAAAAAGGGAAAUGGGUAAAAGGAAGUACUUUUAACAUUUCUCUUUUCUCUCUCUCUCUCUUUUUACUUUUACCAUUUCUUAGAAAAGUACAGUGGAUGCUAAACGCCCCAACAAGAAGGCUAGAGGGGCAGAUGCUCGAUUUGAUCAAGUACAGAGAUGCAACAGUGAAAGGUCCUUCAUUGCAAUAAAGAUUAAAAAUGAAAGAGUGCAACCAGGUCUGGCAGUACAUCCACAUCCGUUGUCCCCGAGCAGGAGACUGAGGGAGAUGAUUCUGGGAGCUUCAUGGACUCUGGAGGAGCUAGAAAUGGAGGAUAACUUCUGUUCCAUCCCUCGACCCAGGUAUUUGCAUUUAAAAUAAUGUUUCUGAAUUCAAAUAAAGGAAUCAGCCAUGGUGGAAUUUCUGG